UUUUAUCAAUACCUUGCCGCCCUUUGUGGCAUCUCCGUUAAAGUCCUCCAGUAUAAUCAAGCGCUCGUGACACAGUCCAAGAAUGGAGUUGUGUGAGGGGAAUUCUGAGGGCUUAUGAGAAAACUUCAAGGAAACAAGAGUCUGUGACCUCAGUUUCUUCAAAAGCAUGAACAGUUCCUGGAAUGUGCUUUUGUGCCCCUCCCAGGUGAGAUGGAUAGGAGUGAGCUUACCUUGCUGAGUUUACCCAGUGGCAUUGUUAUGGGCAUAUAUGGCUCUCUAGAAAAACAUGUUUUUGCCACUUGUGGCUUGUUCUCAUGAUUACACACUUUACUCAAAUGACUCUUAUUCCUCACAGAAAAAAAAAAAUUAAAAAAGGCUAUUUACUGUUGAUUGCAUGAGACUGUAAUCUGACUCAUUUUAGGCCCUGCUCCCCAGGUUCAUGCUGCCAAUAGAGCUUGUGAACACUGGAAAUCAAACCUAGGUCCUCUGCAAGGGAGGCUCUCUGCAAACCUGUGGUCAGGCACCUCUGCUGGCCGAGCACCUCUGCUGGGAGCCUCCAGAUGUCCUUGCAGUGCCCGAGGAAGCCCAGCCUGCCAGUGAGAGAAGCACAAGAACACAAAGUCCAGAGGGAACACGCCUGCUGCCAUCUGUCUCCCUUCUACACACUAGCAAUCCCAAUAUGCAAAUGCAUGUUUUCUAUAACCCAUCUAAGAGACAGGCCAAGUUCUGGCCAGAUCCAUCUCCAGCAGCCUGUCUGUAAGUUCUUUUCUUUUCCUGCACAAUUGCCUCUGGCCUAUAAUGUGUCGUUACUUGCUGUAUUUUCUCUAGAUGUGUG
Molecule: long non-coding RNA, 835 nt
Organism: Meriones unguiculatus (Mongolian gerbil)
Lineage: Eukaryota; Metazoa; Chordata; Mammalia; Rodentia; Muridae
Exons: 3
Source: RefSeq, a predicted model, not a curated record